AAGAAGAAGCUUUGCUACCUCCACAGCAGAUACAAGGUGGCCCAUAACAGGGAAGGGGACGAACACAAGCUGUGCUUUAUCCAUUUUCCUAAUGAAAUAGUAUAUAUUCUUAAUUUUGCUGCUAAGCUCGCGGUAUUUGCAGAGCUACCUGUGGGUGCCUGGGAGGCUGUAAUGAAAGAGCAGCUUGGUUCUUCCUUUCUUGAAGUACAUUAUAUAAAAUUCUAAGUCGAAAUUUCCAAUCAUGAUGGCCAAGGAUCAAGUGACGUCAUGGCUUUGCUGGAUUGGUACUGUCUCGACAGACACUUGGACCAUAACUUCAAAAUCUUUCGCUUUCAAUUUCUGUCUUUUUUAAUAAUGAAAAAUAGCUAUUGUGCAAGUGGUAGUUCAUAUGCUUUCUCAU
RNAcentral lists this unclassified non-coding RNA (400 nucleotides) under Hevea brasiliensis (rubber tree). The record is from RNAcentral. Lineage: Eukaryota; Viridiplantae; Streptophyta; Magnoliopsida; Malpighiales; Euphorbiaceae.